UACGGAGGGUGCAAGCGUUAUCCGGAUUUACUGGGUUUAAAGGGUGCGCAGGCGGAUAUGUAAGUCAGUGGUGAAAUCUUUGGGCUUAACCCGAAAAUUGCCAUUGAUACUAUAUAUCUUGAAUGCUGUGGAGGUAAGCGGAAUAUGUCAUGUAGCGGUGAAAUGCUUAGAGAUGACAUAGAACACCUAUUGCGAAGGCAGCCCCCUGGGCUGAGAUUGACGCUCAGGCACGAAAGCGUGGGGAGCAAACAGG
This 253-nucleotide ribosomal RNA is filed under the name uncultured bacterium. RNAcentral describes it as "partial 16S ribosomal RNA". It matches the Rfam family "Bacterial small subunit ribosomal RNA", at positions 524 to 776 of the family's 1533-position model. The record is from RNAcentral.